This 437-nucleotide ribosomal RNA is filed under the name uncultured bacterium. RNAcentral describes it as "bacterial SSU rRNA". It matches the Rfam family "Bacterial small subunit ribosomal RNA", at positions 343 to 797 of the family's 1533-position model. The record is from RNAcentral.
AGGAGGCAGCAGUGAGGAAUAUUGCACAAUGGGCGAAAGCCUGAUGCAGCAACGCCGCGUGAGUGAUGAAGGCCUUCGGGUUGUAAAGCUCUGUCUUUGGGGACGAUAAUGACGGUACCCAAGGAGGAAGCCACGGCUAACUACGUGCCAGCAGCCGCGGUAAUACGUAGGUGGCGAGCGUUGUCCGGAUUUACUGGGCGUAAAGGAUGCGUAGGCGGAUAUUUAAGUGAGAUGUGAAAUACCCGGGCUUAACUUGGGUGCUGCAUUUCAAACUGGAUAUCUAGAGUGCGGGAGAGGAGAAUGGAAUUCCUAGUGUAGCGGUGAAAUGCGUAGAGAUUAGGAAGAACACCAGUGGCGAAGGCGAUUCUCUGGACCGUAACUGACGCUGAGGCAUGAAAGCGUGGGUAGCAAACAGGAUUAGAUACCCCAGUAGUCCG